UUCAACCCCAGCCUGGGAGCUUCCGUGUGCCACGGGUGUGGCCCUAAAAAGACAAACUACACUAAACUAAACUAAACUAAUUAAAAAUAAGAAUAAAAUAAAAAACGAGAACACACACAAAGUGAAUGGAUGAAGGGAGUUAGGAGGAGGCUCGAUAAAUACAGAAAUAGGGAGCAGGGCCCCGGUGAUCCAGUUUAUUACCCUAUGGUGGGCGUGGCUAGCUCAGAGAGCUGUUGCCAAGCGACCCUAAUAAAUGAUCCCAAAGCAGUCCACAGGCAGUGUUCUGUAUAAAAGCUUAAUCAUCUUUAACAGGAAUCUUGAAGCCCUAAUGACUGGGAUAGAGGCGGCCUUCACAUGCAUGCCCUCUGGCUUCUAUUCUGGGCUGCGCUCUGACUCACCCUGUCAGCAGUGCCAGCUCCCUCCCCUCUGUUGUGCCCGGGGGAACAGGACAGAACUGACAAGGGAUCCAGCCCUCUCCUCUCCCACUGGGCAAACAGCCUUUCGCCAGCCCUGGACACACAGAGCCACCUAAGAAGGAGGCAUCCGCUGCCCAGAAAACGCUUCUAUCCAGCCCUCAGACUCGCCUGCUGGCCUGAGCAACCUAGCCUGCACGCUGGUCUGGGUUCUAGGACUCAGUGGCCAGAGCUGUCCCAGGAGGAGGCAAAUGGCACGACGCUUCUGCGUGUGUUUCUAUUUCCAAACUCCAGAACUCAUGUUGGGCCAUCGAGUCUACCCGGGCCUCCACCCACCUCCCUAUCACCCAAAGGACGGGGCCAGACUGCACUAGAGACAGAGAAAGGAACAAAGGCCCUGCCCUCGCGGAGCUCACGGCCUCAGUUAAGGAUCCAACAUUGCCACAAAUGGCAGCAUAGGAUGCAUAUGCAGCUGCGAUUUGACCUCUGGCCUGGGAACUUCUAUAUGUCAUGUGUGCAGCUGUAAAAAGAAAAAAGAAAAAAGAAAAAAAAAAAGAUAACCAGUGAUGGCUAGUGUUAAUUCAGCUACACUAUCCCUCAUUAGACUACAGAAAUAGUCUAUUUGUAUAUCAAUAAAGAAGAAAACAGCCCUGGGAAAGGGGGUGGGGAUGGGGUGGAGGGUGGUAAGUUGGGGGUGGGGGGAGGAAUAAGGGUUCCUGGAAGGACCUAAAGUAGCAAUGCAUCUUGUCACCAAUUUUCAGCAGGCCAUUCGCCCACCCACAGGGUCACACCACACACAGCAAGCUGGCACAGGCAUCAUGCGGCAUGUGCCUUGGCAGGAAGAAUGCAGGCUCUGACUUGACCUGGCCUCUCUUGCUUCCACUAUAAACAGGGCAUACAGCGCCUGCGUGACACAGUGGUUCCCAGAUCAAGUGCCCCAGAGGUACUCGGACCCUGCAGAGCACACAGAGGACACGAUACCCAUGCAGUACGGAGGGUCCUCAGAAAACAAAACAUAGAACUACCAUAUGAUCCUGAAAUCCCUGUCCUGGGCCUCCAUCCAGACAAAACUACAAUUCAAAAAGAUACAUGCACCCCAUGUUCACUGCAGCACU
Molecule: long non-coding RNA, 1528 nt
Organism: Sus scrofa (pig)
Lineage: Eukaryota; Metazoa; Chordata; Mammalia; Artiodactyla; Suidae
Source: RefSeq, a predicted model, not a curated record